RNAcentral lists this ribosomal RNA (271 nucleotides) under uncultured bacterium. Its description in RNAcentral is "partial 16S ribosomal RNA". It matches the Rfam family "Bacterial small subunit ribosomal RNA", at positions 524 to 794 of the family's 1533-position model. The record is from RNAcentral.
UACAGAGGGUGCGAGCGUUGUCCGGAAUCACUGGGCGUAAAGGGCGCGUAGGUGGCUUGGUAAGCGUGUGGUGAAAGUCCGGGGCUCAACCCCGGAUCUGCCGUGCGAACUGCUGAGCUCGAGCAAUGUAGAGGCAGGUGGAAUUUCGGGUGUAGCGGUGGAAUGCGUAGAUAUCCGAAAGAACACCAGUGGCGAAGGCGGCCUGCUGGGCAUUAGCUGACACUGAGGCGCGACAGCGUGGGGAGCAAACAGGAUUAGAUACCCCUGUAGU